UACUGGCUUCAGCAGCAAUAUACUAAAAUUGGAACUAUACAGAGAACAGUAGCAUAGCCCUGCACAGGGAUGACAUGCAAAUUGGUGAAGCAUUAUAUAUUAAA
Molecule: small nuclear RNA, 104 nt
Organism: Dromiciops gliroides (monito del monte)
Lineage: Eukaryota; Metazoa; Chordata; Mammalia; Microbiotheria; Microbiotheriidae
Source: RefSeq, a predicted model, not a curated record